Camellia sinensis is the source of this 1130-nucleotide non-coding RNA. The record is from RefSeq and is a predicted model, not a curated record. NCBI's taxonomy places the organism in Eukaryota, Viridiplantae, Streptophyta, Magnoliopsida, Ericales, Theaceae.
CUCUGUUAAAUUGUUGAUUUGCAGAAAUUCACUGUACCUCAGAAAUUCUUUAGUCAUUUUUAUGUGUUGGCUGUGGUGUGGACAACAUUGUUGCUGGUCACAACUUGGUUUUAUGCAUAUAAAGAGGCACCAUUGGCCUAUGGGCCUUUACGAUACUCCACUAUUGUCAACUACUUGACUGGGGGUUCGAAUAUCCUUUCUUUUCAUAAAUCUCAUUCUUAUUUGAGCACUAUAAAAUAUAGAUACAGGGUUUGGCAAUCUGUAUUUCUGCUCUUGUUGAUGGAAGUUCAAGCAUUGAGGCGCCUUUGUGAGACAAUAUAUGUAUUCAAGUACAGUCCCUCAGCUCGGAUGCACAUUUUUGGCUACCUUACUGGCCUAUUCUUGUAAAAGCAGAGUUACAUCUUGAUGAUAAUGGUUCUAUUGCUCUUUUGCCACUUUCAGGGAACCAAAAAUCAAUCCCAUACUGACCAAACUUUGUUGUGCGACCACAUAUCGUUCAUCGAGAUAUCAAAGCUAGCAAUAUUCUCCUCGAGAAAGACUUGACACCCAAAUUUCAGAUUUUGGUCUACCAAAACUUAUCCCAGCCAACAUGACUCAUGUCAGUACCCGUGUGGCAGGAACGAUGUAAGUUCUAACAAUAAUGCAUCCAUUUUUUUAAUCCAUCUAAUCAUAAGAGUUCAUCUUCAUUACAUUCUAACAAUAGUGCAAAUAUGGACUUUACACUUUCUUAGGAAUGUCUGUGUCUGUGAGUUGAAUUUGAUAUGGAGGGAAACUAAUAUCUGUGCUGAUCUCCUAGCUAAGAAUGCAGCAGCUCGGCGUGAAACUUUUAUGCUUAUACAUGAUGCUCCCAAGACUCUUCUAAUGUUAUUGGCUAAAGAUAGGAUAAGUGUUGGGUGUUUGAGAAUGGUGCAUUUGUGAUCUUUGCUUUCUUUUGUUUUGGCUUCAGCCAUCGUUUGGGGAAAAGAAACCUUAUAAAAAAGAGAAUGUGAUAUAAAUUUCCAAGUUCGUGAUUAACUUCUUAGAACUGCAGAUUUCCCGCUCAUUACCAUUUAUGCCACACUUUCAUCAUUUGCAUCGUUGUUUAGGAUUAUUUUCUUCACCUUCUUUAUUUAUUUAUCCCUUUUCUAUUU